AUACUUACCUGGCAGGGGAGACACCAUGAUCUCUAAGGUGGUUUUCCCAGGGUGAGGCUGAUUCACUGCCCUGGGUAUUGGCUGAUCCUGUGAUUUGCUGAUGUGACAAAAUUCCACUGAGUGAUUUGUGCUGGAGGUGGGCUUCCCUGAGCUAUUUACUCCAA
This 164-nucleotide small nuclear RNA is filed under the name Dasypus novemcinctus (nine-banded armadillo). RNAcentral describes it as "U1 spliceosomal RNA (ENSDNOG00000043524.1)". It matches the Rfam family "U1 spliceosomal RNA". Rfam says of the family: U1 is a small nuclear RNA (snRNA) component of the spliceosome (involved in pre-mRNA splicing). Its 5' end forms complementary base pairs with the 5' splice junction, thus defining the 5' donor site of an intron. There are significant differences in sequence and secondary structure between metazoan and yeast U1 snRNAs, the latter being much longer (568 nucleotides as compared to 164 nucleotides in human). The record is from RNAcentral. Lineage: Eukaryota; Metazoa; Chordata; Mammalia; Cingulata; Dasypodidae.